GGAUUCCCCUAGUAACUGCGAGUGAAGAGGGAAAAGCUCAAAUUUAAAAUCUGGCGGGCUCUGUCCGUCCGAGUUGUAAUCUGGAGAAGCGUUUUCCGCGUCGGACCGUGCAUAAGUCUCCUGGAACGGAGCGUCAUAGAGGGUGAGAAUCCCGUCCAUGGCACGGACCGCCGAUGCUUUGUGAUACGUUUUCAAAGAGUCGAGUUGUUUGGGAAUGCAGCUCAAAAUGGGUGGUAAAUUCCAUCUAAAGCUAAAUAUUGGCGAGAGACCGAUAGCGAACAAGUACCGUGAGGGAAAGAUGAAAAGCACUUUGGAAAGAGAGUUAAACAGUACGUGAAAUUGUUGAAAGGGAAACGCUUGAAGUCAGUCGCGUCCGACGGAACUCAGCCUUGCUUCGGCCUGGUGUACUUUCUGUCGGACGGGUCAACAUCAGUUUUGAUCGGUGGAGAAAGGUAGGGGGAAUGUAGCGCUGUUUCGGUGGCGUGUUAUAGCCCCUUGCUGUAUGCAUCGGUUGGGACUGAGGACCGCAGCACGCCUUUUUGGCCGGGGGUUCGCCCCACGUACCGUGCUUAGGAUGUUGGCAUAAUGGCUUUAAGCGACCCGUCUUGAAACACGGACCAAGGAGUCCAACAUGCUUGCGAGUGUUCGGGUGGAAAACCCUUGCGCGUAAUGAAAGUAACAGUUGGGAACCUCCGCAAGGGGGUGCACCGACGCCCGGCCCUGAAGUUCUCUGACGGUGCUGCGGUAGAGCAAGUAUGCUGGGACCCGAAAGAUGGUGAACUAUGCCUGAAUAGGGCGAAGCCAGAGGAAACUCUGGUGGAGGCUCGUAGCGAUUCUGACGUGCAAAUCGAUCGUCAAAUUUGGG
Molecule: ribosomal RNA, 865 nt
Filed under: Phellinus sp. TFC1995-050
Lineage: Eukaryota; Fungi; Basidiomycota; Agaricomycetes; Hymenochaetales; Hymenochaetaceae
Description: eukaryotic LSU rRNA
Rfam family: Eukaryotic large subunit ribosomal RNA
Source: RNAcentral